CUGCCCGGUGAUUAGGAAUUUAACGGCCGCAGUACCCUGACUGUGCAAAGGUAGCAUAAUCAUUUGCUCUAUAAUUGAGGGCUAGUAUGAAUGGUUUGACGAAAAUAACGCUGUCUCUAUAGAAUUUGUUAGAAUUUAUUUUUAAGGUGAAGGAACCUUAAUUGAAUUAAAAGACAAGAAGACCCUAUCGAGCUUUAAAUAAAUAUAUAAGAUAAAAAAGGUUUAAAAAUAUUUUUAAUUAUAUAGUAUUUUGGUUGGGGCGACUAAGGAACAAACAAAGCUUCUUUGUAAAUGAAGACUUAUAGGUCUAGAUCCAUUAUUAUAGUGAUUAAAAGAAUUAGUUACCGUAGGGAUAACAGCAUAAUCUUUUUUGAGAGUUCAUAUCGAAAAAAGGGUUUGUGACCUCGAUGUUGGACUAGAAUAUCCUGAGAGAUGUAGAAGUCUUCAAGGGUUGGUCUGUUCGA
Molecule: ribosomal RNA, 464 nt
Filed under: Tectonatica sagraiana
Lineage: Eukaryota; Metazoa; Mollusca; Gastropoda; Littorinimorpha; Naticidae
Description: partial 16S ribosomal RNA
Rfam family: Bacterial large subunit ribosomal RNA
Source: RNAcentral